UUUUCCGGCCCACAAGGCCACAACCACAGACCAACGCACAGGACAUCGAUCAUGACCGCAUACCGCUACCGCACUGGCUACCCGCUCAACACCUGGCGAUUUAGCGACGGCCGCCAGCCGCUCGCCAACCCACGACAUUGCCGAACACCUCGAUAGGGCACGACGCGCGCGGGACGCCCGCCGCCAGCCCAGGAAGCCAGA
This 201-nucleotide small RNA is filed under the name Pseudomonas aeruginosa PAK. RNAcentral describes it as "potential sRNA". Lineage: Bacteria; Pseudomonadati; Pseudomonadota; Gammaproteobacteria; Pseudomonadales; Pseudomonadaceae. The record is from RNAcentral.